CGGACUAAUGAAAUGAAUAUGCGUAUCAAGACCUCCGGCGGUCACGAUCAGUCCUUCUCCCGCAAUCACUUCUGUUCCGGCUCCAAUGAUAAGGUUCUCGUCAACUCCAUCCAUGAUCGCCGGAUUUCCUGCUUUUCCGAUUCCACAGAUCUUACCGUCUUUCAUUCCGAUAUCUGCUUUCACGAUUCCCCAGUAAUCCACGAUCACUGCAUUCGUGAUUACUGUAUCCGGGCACUUGUCAUCCGGAACUGUACAGGACUGUCCCAUACCAUCCCG
This 276-nucleotide small RNA is filed under the name uncultured Mediterraneibacter sp. RNAcentral describes it as "5' ureB small RNA". It matches the Rfam family "5' ureB small RNA". The record is from RNAcentral. Lineage: Bacteria; Bacillati; Bacillota; Clostridia; Lachnospirales; Lachnospiraceae.